GGUGUCUUAGCCAAGUUGGUAAGGCAUGGAGCUGCAACCUCCAGAUGCAUCAGUUCGAAUCUGAUAGACACCUCCA
RNAcentral lists this transfer RNA (76 nucleotides) under Candidatus Mycoplasma haematolamae str. Purdue. RNAcentral describes it as "tRNA-Cys (GCA) (tRNA-Cys-GCA-1-1)". It matches the Rfam family "tRNA". From Rfam's summary of the family: Transfer RNA (tRNA) molecules are approximately 80 nucleotides in length. Their secondary structure includes four short double-helical elements and three loops (D, anti-codon, and T loops). Lineage: Bacteria; Bacillati; Mycoplasmatota; Mollicutes; Mycoplasmatales; Mycoplasmataceae. The record is from RNAcentral.